This 274-nucleotide ribosomal RNA is filed under the name uncultured bacterium. RNAcentral describes it as "partial 16S ribosomal RNA". It matches the Rfam family "Bacterial small subunit ribosomal RNA", at positions 32 to 297 of the family's 1533-position model. The record is from RNAcentral.
AAUCAACGCUGGCGGCGUGCCUCAGACAUGCAAGUCGAACGAUUAAAGCUCUCUUCGGAGAGUGCAUAGAGUGGCGCACGGGUGAGUAACACGUAAGUAAUCUACCUUCGAGUGGGGAAUAACGUCCGGAACGGACGCUAAUACCGCAUAAUGCAGCGGCAUCGCAAGAUGACAGUUGUUAAAGGAGCAAUUCGCUUGAAGAGGGGCUUGCGGCAGAUUAGCUAGUUGGUAAGGUAAUGGCCUACCAAGGCGACGAUCAUUAGCUGGUCUGAGA